AACCUGUUUUAUAAUCGAUAAUCCACGAUGGACCUUACUUAAAUUUGUAUUCAGCUUAUAUACCGUCGUUAUUAGAAUAUUUUAUUAGAAAGUUAAUUUUCAAGAUUUUUAUAAGAAAGAAUAUCAGAUCAAGGUGUAGUUUAUGUUUAAGUAAAAAUGGGUUACAAUAAAAUUAUUUAGACGAAUAUAAAUUUGAAAUUUUUAUUGAAGGUGGAUUUGAUAGUAAAAUUAUAAAGAUAAAUAAUUUGAUUUAAGCUCUAAAAUAUGCACACAUCGCCCGUCACUCUUACUAUUAAGGUAAGAUAAGUCGUAAC
This 314-nucleotide ribosomal RNA is filed under the name Blaesoxipha rufipes. RNAcentral describes it as "partial 12S ribosomal RNA". Lineage: Eukaryota; Metazoa; Arthropoda; Insecta; Diptera; Sarcophagidae. The record is from RNAcentral.